Nerophis ophidion (straightnose pipefish) is the source of this 7253-nucleotide long non-coding RNA. RefSeq lists it as uncharacterized. The record is from RefSeq and is a predicted model, not a curated record. NCBI's taxonomy places the organism in Eukaryota, Metazoa, Chordata, Actinopteri, Syngnathiformes, Syngnathidae. The transcript is spliced from 3 exons.
CAUGCUGACUACAACACUUUCACCCUACAACAAUCACUAAUACACCCCCAUACCAUCACACAUGCUGACUACAACACUUUCACCCUACAACAAUCACUAAUACACCCCUAUACCAUCACACAUGCUGACUACAACACUUUCACCCUACAACAAUCACUAAUACACCCCCAUACCAUCACACAUGCUGACUACAACACUUUCACCCUACAACAGUCUAUUUUCCUCUUUGGUCGAAGUCAGACCACAGAACACUUUUCCACUUUGCAUCAGUCCAUCUUAGACGAUCUCGGGCCCAGCAAUGUGUUUCUGGGUGUUGUUGAUAAAUGGCUUUGGCUUUGCAUAGUAGAGUUUUAACUUGCACUUACAGAUGUAACGACCAACUGUAGUUACUGACAAUGGUUUCCUGAAGUAUUCCUGAGCCCAUGUGGUGAUAUCCUUUACACACUGAUGUCGGUUUUUGAUGGAGUAGCGCCCGAAGGAGGGAAGGUGUGUAAUAUCAUGGCUUACCUGCAGUGAUUUCUCCAGAUUCUCUGAACCUGUUGAUGAUAUUACGGAGCAUAGAUGGUGAAAUCCCUAAAUUCCUUGCAAUAGCUGCUUGAGAAAUGUUGUUCUUCAACAAUUUGCUCUGGCAUUUGUUGACAAAGUGGUGACCCUCGACCCGUCCUUGUUUGUGAAAGACUGAGCAUUUUUGGGGAAGCUGUUUUUAUAGCCAAUCAUGGCACCCACCUGUUCCCAAUUAGCCUGCACACCUGUGGGAUGUUCCAAAUAAGUCUUUGAUGAGCAUUCCUCAACUUUCUCACUCUUUUUUUGCCACUUGUGCCAGCUCUUUUGAAACCUGUUGCAGGCACCAAAUUCCAAAUGAGCUAAAAUCUUCACAAAAUACCAAAAUGUUUGCCAGUUCCAACGUUAAAUAUCUUGUCUUUGCAGUCUAUUCAAUCGAAUAUAAGUUGAAAAGAUUUGUUAUUCUCUUUUUAUUUAGCAUUUACACAAGGUGAAAACUUCACUACUUUUGGGCUUUGUACAUCAUUUACCUUCAGAGAGUGGACUUUGACAAUAUUUUUUUUUCUAAAUGUCCGCCGUUGAGACGUUAUUUGAACGUCCUUGGCUGGCGUUCUGGACUGGUCUGGUCCUCCUUGAUUGUGGUGCAGACUAGCACUGCUCCACACCUCCCGUGGUUACUGUAUUUCCUUGAAUUGCUGCUGGGGCGCUAAUUCAUUUAAAACCUCUUUUCACUCCGGCGUUUACCAAAGGCAUGUGCUAAAUUUAGGCCUACACUUAUAAAUUUGAGUGUGAUGUAAGGAUACCAUCAUGAAAAGCACAUUUAAUUAAAAAAACGUUAUUAUGGUCUUAUCUUUACUUAUAAAUGAAGUCCAUGUGCAGCUCCUUCUAAUCAAAAGCAUCGAUAACUUGUUUAUAGAAGUCUUCCUUAUCUUUCUUCAGUUUUAAAAGUCUCUCUGUCUCUAUGCAGAUCUUCCUUUAUUACCUCCUGCUUCGAUUGAAAGUCCAGUUUAGAAAAGUGUUUUAUUUUAGAUAUGUAAUCCUCCAUGUUAAAAGUGCAAGCGAGAGAAAAAAAUAAACGAUCGCUGCUUGUUGUCACUUCUUCUGCAGCCGAGUAGUCGCAAGAAGGAUCACUAGCGCCCUCUACCUAAAUAUGAGUCAUUUAAUGACUCAUAUUUGACACACGCAGCUAUGGUAAUGUAAUAAAACAUAACUGCUUACUGUUCUUUUUAGCAUAUUCAACCUUAAAUCCUACUGAAUAGCUCUUAAUCUUCUUCCCUGUAUGCGAUUUCAAGUGAUUGAAAUCAGCCUCCUCCAUUUUGAAAUUGAUGACAGGUGAAGUGAGAAAUUAUAUUUUCAAAAAAAAUGACGUGACGAGUUGGGCUUCACGGUGGCAGAGGGGUUAGUGCGUCUGCCUCACAAUACGAAGUUCCUGCAGUCCUGGGUUCAAAUCCAGGCUCGGGAUCUUUCUGUGUGGAGUUUGCAUGUUCUCCCCGUGAAUGCGUGGGUUCCCUCCGGGUACUCCGGCUUCCUCCCACCUCCAAAGACAUGCACCUGGGGAUAGGUUGAUUGGCAACACUAAAUUGGCCCUAGUGUGUGAAUGUGAGUGUGAAUGUUGUCUGUCUAUCUGUGUUGGCCCUGCGAUGAGGUGGCGACUUGUCCAGGGUGUACCCUGCCUUCCGCCCGGUUGUAGCUGAGAUAGGCGCCAGCGCCCCCCGCGACCCCGAAAGGGAAUAAGCGGUAGGAAAUGGAUGGAUGGAUGGACGUGACGAGUUUGACCCGGUGGAAAUCCUGAGCCGGCGGUAAUGCGAAGCACGCGCUAAUUAUUUAGCGAAACGAGUUUGACCUGGCAGUAAUUCUAGGCAAGCGCAUACUAUAUAGCCGGCGGCAAUUCACGGAAAUACGGUAUGUCCAUCCCUCGUAACCUGAAUUUUGGCUCAAAACGUAAAGCCUAAGAAGAGAGAUAAACUUGUAUCCCGAAGUAUGGCCGUGGCGUCCCGGUGACUGAUGUCCUGUUUGAAAGCCAUGCUGAUUGCCAGAUGAGCACGGCCACUCGCACCAAUGUCAACAUGCUACUGUUGUGUCUCUUUCAAAGAGUGUCAUCUCUUGACAGGGUUAAAGCACUUAUGACAUUUCUAAAAAGAAAAGAAAAACAUGUUUUGUACCUCAACCACACUUUCUGUGUUCCUCCCCCUAGCUAUGUUGGCACUUUUGCCAUUUUAGAUUGAAACUUUUAAAGGUAGCUUUUGAUGAGUUAACUCUUAAUAUAGUGGCAGACAUUGAUGUAAUAACUUAAACAUUCUACCUCUUGUCAUAUCAAGUGUUUAAAGCUGUAACAGUUAGGCAACUUACCACUGAAGAAGACUGUUAACGAAGGACAGGACGCGUGUAUUCCUUUUUGAAUGAUAUUUCUACUUAUUUACUACCUCAGCAGUGACAGGCCACUGCUUAUCUAACACGCCCAGGACUACCUUGUAGUUCUAGUGUUGGAGAGUACUCAUGGCAGUACCACUUUAGCCUGGAAGUGUUACACCUCGGGACACAGGUCCGGGUUCCUUUUUUGCCUCAUCCCUCACUUCAAGUGUGAACUAAUAACGCAGUCCUCACCUGAUAAGUCCCAACAGUAUUAUCUGCUCACAGAUGCUCCCUGGUGGUUGUGUGAGCCCCUGGAUAGUCCUUACUCCUUAAAAAAGAGAACUGCACUUUUUUGGGGGGGAGAUUUUUACCUUUCAUUCACUAUCGAUAUGAGACAAGAAGACAAAAAAUUGUUUUGUGUUGCAUCCUAACUUGUGAAAAUCGUCUGGUUCUCGAUGGCUAGUGGUGCAGCUAACGGGAGCAAUCACUUCUACCUCUAAAUCACUUUGAAAUGCAUUCAAAAACCGUCAACAAUACUUUGUUUGCAUCCCGUAACCUGUGUAAGAGCCACGUUGUACAACAUUAAUAUUGUAAGAGAGAACACUAUUUCUAGCAUGCUACGGUAUAAAAUAAGCUGGCUUAGAGAGUCACUCGAUUGUACAGUUUAGUGUUUGGUCUAGCUGACCUGGGACAUGUUUCCCGAUUUAUUUGGGCAAGCACUUCAUUUAUGUCAAAAUAGCACGGCUUCAAAUUCCACAUUUUGCAACUUCAAGUCACUUUCACCUCACUCUCUCGGCUUCCGUCUGCCCCAGCGUCUCACUCUUCCUUUGUGCUGGCUUCUAGAAGCAGCAGUUCAUCCUCUGUAUAUUCGGCUUCAAAAAGAUAAGGUUGUAAAUCCUCAUUUGUCUAAAAACGGUUGUCUUCGUUGUUUGUUACCGAAUCUGCCAUGACUAGAAGACACACGUCUUUGUUUCCAAAAGUAGGAACACAUUUGUAGCCAGAAGUCAGAAGUGCGUUGCUAUGGAAACUGAAAUCGGUGCUCGGAACAAAUCAGAAAUUAAAAUAACCAAAACACAGUGAAUAUCUUUAGUAAGUUAAAGUACCAAAAAUGAUUCUCUGCAUUUGACCCAUCACCCUUGAUCACCCCCUGGGAGGUGAGGGGAGCAGUGAGCAGCAGCGAUGGCCGUGCCCGGGAAUCAUUUUUGGUGAUUUAACCCCCAAUUCCAACCCCUUGAUGCUGAGUGCCAAGAAGGGAGGUAAUGGCUCCCAUUUUUAUAGUCUUUGGUAUGACUCGGCCGGGGUUUGAACUCACAACCUACCCAUCUCAGUGCUCGGAAGAGAUCAGUCUCCGCGAUGAUUAAAAUGACCAAAACACGGUGAAUAUUGUUAUGAAUGUGUCUGUUACUACAUUAUAUAAAUACUUGCAGCGUUUACAUCAGGGGUGUCCAAAGUGUGGCCCGCAGCUAAUGGUUUACCACACAUUCUGCUAAUAUUGCAAAAUUGAUAGUAUUGCAAAAAUAAAAAUUUUUAAAAAGUGUAAUGAGGUGAAAUCUAAUGAGAAAAAGUGGCAAUGUUGACUUAAAACUGCCAUGCAGGCAGUUUUUUUUCCUUUUGUGCUUAUUUUCUUUCUUUUAUUUGCAUUGCUAAAAAAAAAAGACCAAAAAAUCUAUGUUAUAAUGAAUUAUUACUUAAAAAUUAUCACUUUAAAAUGUUUUAUGUGGAAAAAAUAUUGCAUGCGGUUGCCGUGUAAAAACAAAGUUUUGACAAAAGAGCAUAAAACAAACAAAAUAAUAGUUCAAACUUAAAAUCGACAGAUAUAUCGGAAGUUGAUCUUGAAAGUUAAGUGUUAAAAGUAAAAAAAACAACUAAUAAAAACGCAUCACUUUAUGAGUGGGGAACCUUUCGGAUCUCAAAUAUAUUUAGUAGUAUUUUAUUGAACUUUUCACUGUGAUUACUCAAAAAUAUUAAAUAAUUAAAAUCAAUGGUGUCCUGCAUUAUUGAUCUUUGAGGGCUUUAAUUGCUAAAUAAAAGAACUCUCCUGAAGGAAUCAAUAAAGUACUAUCUACUAUCUAAAUACUGCAUAUUUCAGUUUUACUCUAAAAAACAAAGUUUUCUUGACAGAAAAGGCAUAAAACCUUAUUUGUUUUACUUUAUAUCAACCUCAAGUUGAUACAGAGAUUUACUGUAAGUAUUAAAUAAAAAUUAUUAACAUUUUGACUUAUUUUUAACUGAGACCCUCUACACUCCCCAGGAUAAGGAUAAAAAAACAAAAUCAAUAUAUUUUGUUAUGGUUUGAAAAUGAGAACCCCCGCAUGUUCACAUUUUUCCGUGUGUGGCCCUCUGUGGAAAAAGUUUGGACACCCCUGGUGUACAUAAAAGGAUGGAGGGUUUUAAAGACUAAAACGCUGACUCCCAGUACCUGCAUCUUCCAGGCGAUUUAAAAAAAAAAUCAACUUUAAAAUCCAGAAGAAAGAAAAAAAAAGACGUGUGUUCUUGUCUCUCAUAACGAUGGUGAGCGAUAUGCAAAAUCCCCCUCCCCAAAAGUGCAGUUCCCCUUUGACGCUUCAGUCACACGCAGGAUUCUCACAGGAAUGAGGCAAAAAAAUGCAACUUUGGCCUGGUGUACCUGCCAGGAAACGAAGCCGACCGCCUCGUCUGUUACGCGUCUGGAACUGGAUCAGCUUUUUGUGUCGGGAAACUUGCUGACAAUAGAAAGAAUGACAAAGGCGGGACUUGAUCAUUGGACCACGCCUCCAUUUUUAAGCAGACUGUUCAUUUCCAGAUGUCUUUUGAUACUGUACAUUUGUUGAUAGUUAUUCAGCUUCAUGUAAAUGGUGUGUUUUGCUGUCCUGAAUGCUCACACUGGAACGCUGCCUUUUGUCCUGUCGGCCUUCUUUUUCAAGAGGUGCAUGAGAAUGAAGCGACAAGAAGGUACUGGCGGUGUCACGCAGGGACUGGAAGCAAGCCUGUUGCUUCUCACACUGCGGGUUAGAUAGUCCGAGACCUUUCAACAACUUAACCUUUGUUUACUUCUUCACCAACAAGUAGAAGCGCCGUCUUCUCAAUGCUGAAUAUGAUCAAUACCCUGGACUGCUGUGAACCCAGCGCACCCGCGUUUUUCAUGAUCGUGUCCCAGCAUUGAGCAGGAAACCGGGAGAAUUGUCAUUUUUUUUAUCGUCUAAACAAAGUAAAACAAAAAUAAAUAUGUAGAUUGACUCUUAAGUUGUUGUUUUCAUUUGGAACUAAGGAACACAAAGAAUGUCGUCCCGAUUUUCCACUUCUGAUACUAAUGUUGGAACCUUGAGUAACUUUAUUGCCCAAAGUAUGGUGGCCAGCCAUCCAAAUGAGAAUCAGGUGUCCACUCACUUGGCCUGGUGUAUCAAAUCAAGCACUGAAACAUGGAGACUGUUUCUACACAUUUCCAGUGUGGAACUGUCACAGGAUGCCACUUGUGCAACAAAUCCAGUCCUGAAAUAUCCUCGCUCCUAAAUAUUCCAAAGUCAACUUUAUUAUAAGAAAAGUGAAGAGUUUGGGAACAACAGCAACUCAGCUACCAAGUGGUAGGCCACGUAAACUGACAGAGAGGGGUCAGCAGAGGAAAUAUAGUCUGGGGUUGUUAUUCAGGAGUUGGGCUUGGCCUCUUCCAGUGAAAGGAACAUUGAAAGCUCCAGAAUAACUAUGCUCCCAACCUGGUGGGAACAGUUUGGAGGGGGCCCCUUCCUCUUCUGACAUGACUGUGCACCACUGAACAAAGCAAGGUCCAUAAAGACCUGGAUGACAUAGUCUGGUGUGGAUGAACUUGACUGGCCUGCACAGAGUCCUGACGUGAUCCUGAAUUAUAACGGAGACUGAGAGCCAGGCCUUCUCCACCAACCUCAGUGCGUGACCUCACCAAUGUGCAUUUGGAAGAAUGGCGGAAAAUUGUUAUAAACACACUCUGCACCCUUGUGGACAGCCUUCCCAGAAGAGUUGAAGCUGCGAUAGCUGCAAAAGAUCAUAUUGAAGCCUGUGGGUUAAGAAUGGGAUGGGACUUCAACUUCAUAGGUGGCCAAAUACUUUUGGCAAUAUAGUGUAUUAGUCUGAUACAUCAGCACAAAUCAUAGUAACAACUUUUGAUAUUUUCAAGUGAAAUGACCUGGAGAACUGUGAUGGAUGAAAAGAAAACAGCAACCUUAUGAGGUGGACUGAUUAUUCAUCAGAAGAAUUCCUGAAGUUCAGCACGAUGCAGGAAGGAGAAAGAAAACAUUUUGUGUCUCCCCGUCUGCCACGACUGUAAAUAUCAUCUGUCUAUGAAAUUGUUGGUUCGUUUUCUUCAACUUUCCCAGGCGUUCAUGUCGAGCCCGGUUGUCGUCAGCCAAUGGCGUGCGAGCACCGCUGAGCGGCAGCCAAUGGCGUGCGAG